RNAcentral lists this ribosomal RNA (310 nucleotides) under uncultured Glomeromycotina. RNAcentral's name for it is "SSU rRNA". It matches the Rfam family "Eukaryotic small subunit ribosomal RNA", at positions 784 to 1092 of the family's 1831-position model. The record is from RNAcentral. Lineage: Eukaryota; Fungi; Glomeromycota.
GCUAACGCUUGAAUACAUUAGCAUGGAAUAAUGAAAUAGGACGUUCAAACCUAUUUUGUUGGUUUCUAGGAUUGACGUAAUGAUUAAUAGGGAUAGUUGGGGGCAUUAGUAUUCAAUUGUCAGAGGUGAAAUUCUUGGAUUUAUUGAAGACUAACUACUGCGAAAGCAUUUGCCAAGGAUGUUUUCAUUAAUCAAGAACGAAAGUUAGGGGAUCGAAGACGAUCAGAUACCGUCGUAGUCUUAACCAUAAACUAUGCCGACUAGGGAUCGGAUGAUGUUAAUUUUUUAAUGACUCAUUCGGCGCCUUACG